This 525-nucleotide ribosomal RNA is filed under the name Akis spinosa. Its description in RNAcentral is "partial 16S ribosomal RNA". It matches the Rfam family "Bacterial large subunit ribosomal RNA", at positions 1808 to 2606 of the family's 2925-position model. The record is from RNAcentral. Lineage: Eukaryota; Metazoa; Arthropoda; Insecta; Coleoptera; Tenebrionidae.
CAAAAACAUGUCUUUUUGAUUUUAAUUUAAAGUCUGACCUGCCCAAUGAUUAUUUGAAUGGCCGCAGUAUUUUGACUGUGCAAAGGUAGCAUAAUCAUUAGUUUUUUAAUUGAAAGCUGGAAUGAAUGGUUUGAUGAAAAAAUAUCUGUCUCUUAGUAAAUUUUAUAGAAUUUUAAUUUUGAGUUAAAAAGCUCAAAUAGUUUAGGAAGACGAGAAGACCCUAUAGAGUUUUAUAUAUUAUUAUUUUAAUUAUUAGAUGAUUUUAAUUUAAUUAGAAUUUUAAUGUAUUUUGUUGGGGUGAUAUAAAAAUUUAAGUAACUUUUUAUUAUUUUAACACUAAUUAGUGAUUUUUUGAUCCUAUAUUUUAGAUUAUAAGAGUAAAUUACCUUAGGGAUAACAGCGUAAUUUUUUUAGAGAGUUCUUAUUGAUAAAAAAGUUUGCGACCUCGAUGUUGGAUUAAAGUUUAAUUUUGGUGGAGAAGCUGAAAAUUUAGGUCUGUUCGACCUUUAAAACUUUACAUGAUCU